RNAcentral lists this ribosomal RNA (253 nucleotides) under uncultured bacterium. RNAcentral's name for it is "partial 16S ribosomal RNA". It matches the Rfam family "Bacterial small subunit ribosomal RNA", at positions 524 to 776 of the family's 1533-position model. The record is from RNAcentral.
GACGUAGGGCGCGAGCGUUGUCCGGAUUUAUUGGGCGUAAAGAGCUCGUAGGCGGCUUGUCGCGUCGACUGUGAAAUCCCGCGGCUCAACUGCGGGUCUGCAGUCGAUACGGGCAGGCUAGAGUUCGGUAGGGGAGACUGGAAUUCCUGGUGUAGCGGUGAAAUGCGCAGAUAUCAGGAGGAACACCGGUGGCGAAGGCGGGUCUCCGGGCCGAUACUGACGCUGAGGAGCGAAAGCGUGGGGAGCGAACAGG